Alligator mississippiensis (American alligator) is the source of this 2611-nucleotide long non-coding RNA. RefSeq lists it as uncharacterized. The record is from RefSeq and is a predicted model, not a curated record. The transcript has 7 exons. NCBI's taxonomy places the organism in Eukaryota, Metazoa, Chordata, Crocodylia, Alligatoridae.
GGUGCCUCAAUGGCCAUCCUAUCCUUACCAGGGUGGAUCUAGGAUUUUGAAGGGUGGGGGGAGGGUGAAGGUGCAUGGUUAGUCACAUAGAAUAUGACAGGAAAGCUUCUUUGGGGAGAUGUGAUAACUUUUAUUGGUUGGAAAAAAGUUCUUUUGAUGCUUUCAGGCACAAGUAUCUUUCUUCACUCAGGCAUAGGGAGUCCCUGCUGUCCUGAGAUCUGCAAGGAAUGAAAGAAACUAAAAAUGUGCCAGGAUGUCAGUGAGAAUGUAAAUAGGUGGAAAUUAAGGAAACAAUGGGAAGUCAGGGGGAAAUAAUGCCAAAAGUAAAUAAGGGAGACUCUACUCAAGGUAGAAAAGAGGCAGUCUGUGAAAUAGCUGGAAAUUAGGAAGACAAAGGGUAGAAAAGGAGGGGAGGGGAGGAAAAGGGAAAAAGAAAAGUGUAAAUGUUAAGGUCUGGAGGUAUCUGGUGAAUCAGAUGUCGGACAGGUUGUUAAUGUGUGUCCAUGACUUUUUGUAUCCAGUAGGUUUGUGAAGUUUGUUCAUGACACACAUUUUUCUCCAGUUAAAAGAGACUAGAAACUUUCUUAACAGGCUUGGGACCUAAGCACUGUAUUAUUCAGUUCAAGAUCAAAGUAAAAGCAAACAUAACUUUAUCAGCAUGUGCCUGAAUUUGCUAGAUUAUACAUUAAGUUUAAAAGACAGCAGACACUAGGCCAAAAACAAAGAUCCAGAUAGUCAAAACAGAUUGUUUCAUUAGUCUGGAAGUUAUUAUAGUUAGACGUACAUAGCAUGCAGACUUGUAACAAAAUCUAGUUUUCUUGAGUGUCUUGAGAGUGCUUCCAGUACUUCACCAUCAGUCCUGAGUUAAUAUAUCUCAGUUAAGGUUUUUAGGUAGAGCUAAAAAACAGUUUGCAGGGCAAUGAGAUAGAAGAGAGACUUUAUCUGGAGCAAAAUUCAGAAGAAAGGAUACUUUGGAUAGCAGAACAUCAAGACCAUUAAAAAGGAGAGUGGGUCCUUAACACCUAUGGAAUUAAGUGACAUUAACAGGAAUCAGAUCAUAGUGAGCCAUGAAGUCAAUUGACUCAGUGCUGCCUGAACAGAAAUGCCAUUGCCCCUCCUAAGCAGUUGGCUUUAAAGCUUGGGUAGAGCAGAAAUCAAAGGGGAGAAAGUACAAAUGUACCUCCCUUAAUCCACCCUUGAUUCUUACCAACAGCAAGGCCCAAUGCAUGAGCAAACCCAUGUCCCAAAUGCAUCAGAAGUUGCAAGACAUCACAUAAUAGAGAAUUACAAUAACUAACUGUAAAGGGGGAAUUUCUUCCUACCCUCUCUUUGUGGUGGCCUUUGUUGCUAAGAUCUUGGCCUUGAAACCUUGUGGGAGUAAGUCCCAACUUUUUAUCAGUGUCAAAUUUGUUGCUCUUGAAACGUCAUGGGCUCAGUUUUAUAUCAGACCCUACAACAGGGCCUGCCUCUGAAACAUUCUGUGCAUCCUAUAUCCCUUAGCAGACAUGGUCAAUGCCUUAAAGAGCUUGCAAAUUAAUUUUAGACAAAAUCCCAGUGACUUUUGCCAUUGCUGUGUCCUGUCUAACCCUCACUGCCGGCUGACUGCAGCACUUCUUUGCCAGGGUGGCCUCCAGCCCCCAGGGGGAAAGGCAGGAAUAAGACAAAUUUGUGGGCAACCACCUGAUUACCAAGUCCAGCUCAGGCAGCUGGUUCCUCCACCAGGUAGCUUUACUCCUCCCCUAACUUUGGGGACUGAGGUAGAGAGAAAUCAGUGUUAGUAGUGCAGGGAUCCCAGCCUGCAGAAGAGAGCAGCAGCAAUUCCCAGAGAAGGCUACCUCCGGAAGCAUGGGAGUGGGAGAAGCAGGACAGGAAUGACAGGUGUGAGAUGAUGAAGACAGGCUACCACAUAUACAAGCUCCUUUCAGUCUUAUUGGUUAGCAUAAUUCAUCCAGCAGUUUGAUCCAUUUGGCUCCAAUUCAUCCGUGCAGCUCCACGUGGCCUUUACAGCACCUGAAGUGGGCUAAAUGUUUUCCUGAAACUUCAGGAAGGCACAAUUCCUGACACAACUCAACCAUCUAAGGGCAGAGAGGUGAAGUCCCUCUUUGGUGCAGCACUAACCCAGACAGGCAUUCACCUCCUCCUCCCAGGCAUUGCUUCUCCUCCUUAAUCAUUGCUGUUUGAAAUAUAGCUAAAACUAACACUAACAACUUACCUGGCACUGCCUGAAGGGAAUAGUUCUUUGGAGGGACUCUGCUGAAGGAGCCAGUGACCAGGGAUGUGGAGAAUUAAUUUCUAGGCAGGACUCAGAGGCAACUCAGGUGGGAAAAGAACAAAUAAAUAAAUCACCAUCAGGAACACAGACAUAACAGAAGUAUAAAAUGAAGACUGAUGACAUCAUCCUGUCUGUCUCCUUUCUAGCACUAGAUUCUCCUCUAGAGUAUUUUCUAGUUCUGUCCAGUCUAGUUUUAAACAACCCAAGUGCCAGAACUUCCAAUUCUUCAGUUGACAGAUUAUUAUACAAAAGAAGACUCACAUCUCCACUAGAGAAUUAAUCAAGCCUAUAGAACAAAGAACCCAAUUAAAACAUGUAUGCUAACUCUUUUCAAACAAA